AGUCGCGUAGCUCAGUUGGUUAGAGCACCACCUUGACAUGGUGGGGGUCGGUGGUUCGAGUCCACUCGCGACUA
RNAcentral lists this transfer RNA (74 nucleotides) under Thiohalophilus thiocyanatoxydans. It matches the Rfam family "tRNA". Rfam says of the family: Transfer RNA (tRNA) molecules are approximately 80 nucleotides in length. Their secondary structure includes four short double-helical elements and three loops (D, anti-codon, and T loops). RNAcentral also lists the same sequence under 2 other names. Lineage: Bacteria; Pseudomonadati; Pseudomonadota; Gammaproteobacteria; Thiohalomonadales; Thiohalophilaceae. The record is from Rfam by way of RNAcentral.